GAAUGCAUUUACUAUGACAGACAAUACCUUGGCCAGUUUAAAGAAGAUGUGCCAAACCCAAAUUACUUUGAUAUGAAAUAUAUAUUCCCAAUGCGCCUUAGAGCCGUACUGGAGUUGAUGAGAAGUCUUAAAGAGGACUUCACUCCUGGGUCAGAAUACAAGGAGACUACGCUUUGCAAAGGCUUGAGGCUAAUGGGAUUGCUGCUUCCUGGAAUUGCUUCACACAACCCUGNNNNNNNNNNNCUUGGAAGGGAGAAGGCUGCUCGAUUGACCUCAAUUACCCUUUCAUGAGAUUAUCUAUGAGGCA
This 307-nucleotide unclassified non-coding RNA is filed under the name Hevea brasiliensis (rubber tree). Lineage: Eukaryota; Viridiplantae; Streptophyta; Magnoliopsida; Malpighiales; Euphorbiaceae. The record is from RNAcentral.